GUAGUCGUGGCCGAGUGGUUAAGGCGAUGGACUUGAAAUCCAUUGGGGUUUCCCCGCGCAGGUUCGAAUCCUGCCGGCUACGGUUUUAGCCUGACUUCUCCCAAAUAGUUUCUU
RNAcentral lists this transfer RNA (114 nucleotides) under Chlorocebus sabaeus (green monkey). Its description in RNAcentral is "miRNA (ENSCSAG00000025922.1)". The stretch from base 1 to 82 matches the Rfam family "tRNA". From Rfam's summary of the family: Transfer RNA (tRNA) molecules are approximately 80 nucleotides in length. Their secondary structure includes four short double-helical elements and three loops (D, anti-codon, and T loops). Further hydrogen bonds mediate the characteristic L-shaped molecular structure. tRNAs have two regions of fundamental functional importance: the anti-codon, which is responsible for specific mRNA codon recognition, and the 3' end, to which the tRNAs corresponding amino acid is attached (by aminoacyl-tRNA synthetases). tRNAs cope with the degeneracy of the genetic code in two manners: having more than one tRNA (with a specific anti-codon) for a particular amino acid; and 'wobble' base-pairing, i.e. permitting non-standard base-pairing at the 3rd anti-codon position. Lineage: Eukaryota; Metazoa; Chordata; Mammalia; Primates; Cercopithecidae. The record is from RNAcentral.